Long non-coding RNA from Athalia rosae (coleseed sawfly), 877 nucleotides. RefSeq lists it as uncharacterized. The record is from RefSeq and is a predicted model, not a curated record. The transcript is spliced from 2 exons. Lineage: Eukaryota; Metazoa; Arthropoda; Insecta; Hymenoptera; Athaliidae.
UCUACGUCUUCCGACGAUCGCACAGAGAGAACUAUGGCACUUUUCGAACCCUGAACGUUCCGAACGUAAGUAUAUCGUUGCUUAAAAUCCAUAGCGGCAUCGAAAGUAAAUUCACUGAAAUCUGGGAGAGGAAGUUCUCAAGAUAUGACGCCAUAAGUUCAUUGUGUACUUCUGACAAUGCAAUCUACAUUGUACUUUUUUUUAUCAAAUUCUGAUUGUUGCCACUUGCCUUCCCAACGAUAAUCGAAAACGGGACCCAUGGGUCGCAUCGUGGAAUCGACGACAUCCCAGCCAUCUGAAUUUUCCCAUGCGAGGGUACACUGUCCGCUCAGGUUCCGGAGUGCACAAUCGGACGGAUCGAUCUGCAUCGAUUUUUUCGGCAGAAAAUCUGAAAAUUUUAGCGAUCAUCGUUAAUAAUAUCUGUGGAAGAUCAAGUCGAAAAUCAGGAAUGGGCCGAGGUCUGACUGUCCACCGUAUUACCGGUCUACUCUAAUACCAAUCGCCUGAAAAUUGUACGAGCCCCAAAAUUCUCACUUCCAGUGGUGAUAUUCCGAUCGUAAUUCCAAAUCAAAGCAGCGUUGUCGUCCUCAGUCAUGCAGGUCAGCUUUAUUUCGCUCCCAUUAUCAGUUGAAGGAUGGCGAAGUAAAACGAGAUAUCCGAAAUUAGGCAACGCCAUUGACACCAGAUAAAAUCCGAAGAAGACAAUGUACGUGAAUGAAGUAGCCAUUGGGUGGAUGAAAUUAUGCUUCACCGACAAAGUUGAAAAUAUUUUUAUGGUACCAGCUCCUCUUCGCAGAGUUUCGUUUUUUUUUUUUUAAGUUGCAAGUAAGUUAAAAUGUAAGGUCGAUCCGAAUUAUUGAGUUUUUCACCGAACCAA